Molecule: transfer RNA, 70 nt
Filed under: Plestiodon lotus
Lineage: Eukaryota; Metazoa; Chordata; Lepidosauria; Squamata; Scincidae
Description: tRNA-Gln
Rfam family: tRNA
About the family: Transfer RNA (tRNA) molecules are approximately 80 nucleotides in length. Their secondary structure includes four short double-helical elements and three loops (D, anti-codon, and T loops). Further hydrogen bonds mediate the characteristic L-shaped molecular structure. tRNAs have two regions of fundamental functional importance: the anti-codon, which is responsible for specific mRNA codon recognition, and the 3' end, to which the tRNAs corresponding amino acid is attached (by aminoacyl-tRNA synthetases). tRNAs cope with the degeneracy of the genetic code in two manners: having more than one tRNA (with a specific anti-codon) for a particular amino acid; and 'wobble' base-pairing, i.e. permitting non-standard base-pairing at the 3rd anti-codon position.
Source: RNAcentral
UAGGGAGUAGUAUAGUGGAAGUACGCGGGGUUUUGAGCCCCUUGGUGCAGGUUCGGAUCCUGUUUCUCUA